ACCAAUGAUGUUACAAUCCAACUUGUUAGGUUGUAGUUGAUCCAAGACCCUGUUUUCAGGGAGAACCUACUUGGUGUUACUACAUUUCCAAUGACAGCGACGAUUGAACUGAGGU
Non-coding RNA from Glycine soja, 115 nucleotides. The record is from Rfam. Lineage: Eukaryota; Viridiplantae; Streptophyta; Magnoliopsida; Fabales; Fabaceae.